UGUGCUGUUGUAUUUGUUGUGUUACGUUUCCUUUGUCGUCUGUCAGCGUGUUGCUUCUCGUGUUUCUCCCAUUUCCUUUCUGCUCGGGGGUGUGGAAUGCCAGGGAAUGUUAGAUACAUUUGUUUAUGUAACCACCUUAAUAUGCAUGGGUAUAAACAUCAUGCUUUGCACAGGAAGUUUAGAUAUGUCUAGUUAUGACACGGAAUGCCGAACGGCACUAAAGCACUUCCAAAGGACUAGAAUGAUAUUAUGUGAUAUAAAGGCUACAUGACGGUAAAAACAUAUCGACUAGAAAUAUGUGCACUGGGGAAGUAAAUGGCGGUAAAGACAGUUCAAAAUGACUAGAGGUAGAGUGAAUAAGUCAUAAAAAGGCUAAGUAGCAAGGUCUUGUGGUGAAAGCUCCAAUAUCAACGUAUCACAAGUCCAGUUGCAACAGCAAGUUUGAAGUAGUCAACCAGAUGAGGCCUGGCUGUCACCUUCUCUGUACAUUCCUUGGCAAGGUGGUACAGUCCAAUACUGCUGUAGCACUGGGAAACUUCUUUGACCAGACGGAUCACAU
Long non-coding RNA from Ornithodoros turicata, 559 nucleotides. RefSeq lists it as uncharacterized. Lineage: Eukaryota; Metazoa; Arthropoda; Arachnida; Ixodida; Argasidae. The transcript has 2 exons. The record is from RefSeq and is a predicted model, not a curated record.